This 495-nucleotide ribosomal RNA is filed under the name uncultured bacterium. RNAcentral's name for it is "partial 16S ribosomal RNA". It matches the Rfam family "Bacterial small subunit ribosomal RNA", at positions 28 to 507 of the family's 1533-position model. The record is from RNAcentral.
GACGAACGCUGGCGGCGUGCCUAAUACAUGCCAGUCGAACGCUGAAGGAGGAGCUUGCUUCUCUGGAUGAGUUGCGAAAGGGUGAGUAACGCGUAGGUAACCUGCCUGGUAGCGGGGGAUAACUAUUGGAAACGAUAGCUAAUACCGCAUAAUAGCAGUUGUUGCAUGACAACUGUUUGAAAGGUGCAAUUGCACCACUACCAGAUGGACCUGCGUUGUAUUAGCUAGUUGGUGGGGUAACGGCUCACCAAGGCGACGAUACAUAGCCGACCUGAGAGGGGGAUCGGCCACACUGGGACUGAGACACGGCCCAGACUCCUACGGGAGGCAGCAGUAGGGAAUCUUCGGCAAUGGACGGAAGUCUGACCGAGCAACGCCGCGUGAGUGAAGAAGGUUUUCGGAUCGUAAAGCUCUGUUGUAAGAGAAGAACGAGGGUGAGAGUGGAAAGUUCACACUGUGACGGUAUCUUACCAGAAAGGGACGGCUAACUACGUG